AGACCUGUAAAUGGAUCUGCGACC
RNAcentral lists this non-coding RNA (24 nucleotides) under Arabidopsis thaliana (thale cress). Lineage: Eukaryota; Viridiplantae; Streptophyta; Magnoliopsida; Brassicales; Brassicaceae. The record is from RNAcentral.